Long non-coding RNA from Anarrhichthys ocellatus (wolf-eel), 5125 nucleotides. RefSeq lists it as uncharacterized. The transcript has 3 exons. The record is from RefSeq and is a predicted model, not a curated record. NCBI's taxonomy places the organism in Eukaryota, Metazoa, Chordata, Actinopteri, Perciformes, Anarhichadidae.
GUCUGAUGGUCAUGUUCAACCGAGACCAAGCAGCUCUUCUCUCCAUUCAACUAUUAGUUAUGUGCCAAGUCUUUGCAGAGAUUGAUCCAGUUGAGCACAGGGAUGAGCUGGUGUCCAGGGGAGACUCCGUCAUCUUCACCUGCAACAUAUCCGAGAGAAAUGUAACGCAAAUCAAAUGGACCAGAGGCAGAUCUGUUUUUGUGUUUUCAAUCUUACUUAAUAAUACUUUUUCAAAUUUCACUUCUCACAAAAUAACAAUAGACAAAAGCUUACCUUCAAAGAUGAAUAUUGCUAAUGUUCAGCAUGACGAUGCAGGAACCUACAGAUGUUUUUUAAAUGGCAUAGAACGUACAAGGGCUAUUGAGUGGAAUUUAAAUGUGACUGUGGAACACGAAGAAAUCAGUCCACUGUGGUAUUCUCUAUACAUCACAGCUGCAAUUGGAUUUCUUCUAUGUGUAAUCACUACAGCUGUCUGCCUCUACAGGUGAGUAAUCAUUUAGUGCCGCGUGUGGAAGUUAUAGUCAUUGUCGUAGUAAUUCGUAAUCAUCAUUACAAAAGUUACAUAUUCUAUGUGCUUUAUUCAUAGACUCUAUAUAGCUAUAUUUUAAAGCAGUGUAAAAAAAAGAAAUGUGCCUUUUCUUAAUCUUUGCGGACAACGGCUUCCUCCACCCUCCCCCAUCUGUGGUCAUCGUGUGAUCGUGUGGCAGUUACAUCGUUCGACAUUUCUGUAUCUUCUAUUCACUGAAUUUGUUUCACACUCUACGAUAUUGUCCAUUAUCUUCUUUCUAGUAAAAAAAAAAAAAGUUGCCGUUGAAUCAUGGGAAUUUAAAUGAUGUCGAUGGAUUAUUGCAGAAACCCUUUUGACAGCCGCCAUUUUGACUUGUCAAAGCAGGAAAAGAAAAGAUUUAACAAACAUUAAGGAUAGCUCUAUUCCCUCAAGUGGCCCAGUAGGCCUUGGUAGUGAGUGAACAUGCACAAUAUACAGAACCCUGGAGCUGGCUAACCUAAAUGGAACGUAGCCAUCAAUCAUGCUUCCACCUGUGCUUUUCCUGCUUUAACAAGUCAAAAUGGCUGCUGUGAAAAGGGUCUAUUCUUGUCACCAUCACAAAAAAAAGAAAUAAUAAAUAUUAGCUGAGUUUAGUCAUAACUUAGCAUAAAGUUUCUCAUUUCAACAAAAAGCUUUACAAGUUGUUUUCAUGUUGCUGGAGCUGCAGGUACACCGAGCAUUCGGGGUGACCCUGGUUUGAAUCAGGAGCAUUGAGAAUGCUGAAUACGGUUCCUUAUUUAGCAAAUGAAAGAGUGGUCUUCCUCUUUGCGUUAAUCUUAGCACAUGAGUCUGCACACAAAUCUGGCAACCUUAACUGUCUCAAUGGGAUUAUUUUAUCCAUAUUUUAUAAUAUUUAUUUUUUAUAAUAUUGUAUUCAUACUUUAUAAUAUUUUAUCAAUAUUUUAGCCACAGAAUUUUACAGUUGUUUACAUCUAAACAACAAUGUUGGUAGAUUGGCCUUCUGAAUGAAAACGAAAAGAAAGGGUAAGAGGGCAGAAAGGUCUGGCAUUUUAGCAACUAAUGCUGCAGAAGACUGGGCAAGACAAAGAGAAGGAAACAAAGAGAAGAGCAAAGUCAGAGGCAGAAGAGCCUGGAAGGAGAGACAGAGGGCGACAAACUCACCGAGGACAAGAGAUCAGGAAAUUAGAGUAAGAAAAUGAUGAGAUGGAGAAGAAUUGAAUGUGAGGGAUGAAGAAGAGAGGGAGAAAAUCAAAGAAAUCAGAGAGACGAACAGAAACAGAAUGUGAUGGAAAGAGGUGGGGAGUAAAAUAACAAAUGUGUAGCUGUUGUAGUUAUCGCUAACAUGCACUGGUAGAAUGUGUCUUCAUUUUUAUUUUUCCCCCUUAAUGCUAAUCUAUACUUUUAUUCCACUGAAUUCGAAAGAGAAAUGUAGCUUUUACUGCUCUUUGUUUAUUUGACAGUUUUACUUACAUUUCAGAUUAAGAUUUCACAGAGAAAACAUGGAUAAGUUUAUAAAAUACAAUGCAAUGUUAAAAAUGUAACCAGUGGGUCCUAACAUCUCAGGUUUGUGACCCCUCAAAAGACCAUUCUCUAGUUGGGCCACUUAAAAUGUCCAAAAGAUGAUUUUGCACAGAUUUGUGCAAAAUCAUUUUGUCCUAAUAAUAAUCUCACAGACCCUAAUAUAUAGGAGGGGCCUAUUUUAGGAACCACUGGACUAAACUAUGAAUUUAAACUAGUCCAAAUAGACUUCACCUACACCAGCAACAGUAAAAUGUACAUUGAUGCAUCAGUAUUAAUCAGAGCUGAAAUAAUAAGUGAAUUAAUCAAUUAGUCGAUCACUAGAAAUUGAUAAUCCAUUAAUUGUUUUCAUCCAGUAAAUCAUCUUUCAAGCAAAAAUGUCAACAUUUUGUUUCCAACUUUUCAGUUGUAAAGUUUUACUGCCGCAUCUUAUUCUUGUUAGACUGUUUAGAACAUUUAAAUAUUACAAAAUUAGAGCAUUGUGAUGGUUUUUUUUCAUAUUUUCUGAUAUUUUAUAGAUUAAAAUAAAAGUGUUCAAGACAAUAAUUGUCAGAUGAAUCAAUCAUGAAAAUAAUUAGUUGUAGCCGUAUACUAAUAUUGUUACAUGAUACUCACUACUCAGUACUUAAAGUACUACAUUGAGCUGAUGUACUUUUAUUGACAGGUUUUUAUAUGCGUGACAUGGAGUACUGUGGUAUUGGUCACUAUACUUUUAUGGAUUAGAUCCUUUACUUAGCUAAAAGUACCAAUCUUAGCAUCAACUCUGUCUCAUAUAAUAUGUCUGAAACAACUGGAAGCUGCACUGUUGUCUCAUCACUGGUCUCAAUUUUAUUUCGGCAUCAAAAAGCCGGACCAACAUCCCAAACCAGGACCAGGACAGCAAGACCCUGAGUUAUGUCCAGUAUAGUGUUCAGUUGGGAAAAGAGGUCAGAAGAACUUUUUCAUUACUCAAACUAUUACAUCCUAAUGUCUCAAAAAGCAUUUCUUUGCAAUCUCCCCCAUUUCCCUCCCAUCCGCUCUUUUGUUUCUUGGAGUAACAGUGAGUUUAUUUCCACUUUCUGUCCCUACAGGUGGCUCCCCUCCAGCCAAACAGCUGUGCAGAAUACAGGACGAAUCCCAAGCAAGUCGGUACUUCAAGAGGCUCAAUGCAAUCUCUGGCCUGUUCAGCAUGAAGUUCAGUGUAAAGCCAAAUAGGAAACAAGAGAUGUUGGAAAGAGAAACACAAUUCAUCCACACAAAACGUCAACUUUAGAAAUACUGAGGUUAUGAGUCCAAAUUCCCUCGGUCCAUCCCUAUGUGAAGCUUUUCACUAACCUGGUCAUUUGAUGAGUAAUGUUUAACUAUGUAGAAUAUAAGAAACAUUACAAAUAAAGCAACAAAAGGAUACAAAUGCUGGUCAGUCAGUUUCCCUCAAGCAAUGGAAGGCAGAAACAAACUGUCCCUCAAGAUCACACCCUCCUCCCUCGGACAAUGUUUAGUUCACACAAUCUGAACAAUGAAGAAAAUGUUCCUCCUCUGCAACUUUGGCAGAUUCGCUCCUUGUUUGUCAGCAAUGUUUUCUAGCCGGGUAGAGUGGUCGGUGGGAACAUGGGGACAGUUUUAGCUAUAGUCAGAAAGAAGUAUGGUAUACAAUUUGAUUUUUGACUCGGUUUUAUUUUUCUCAAAGAAAUCUGUAAACAGGAGACAUUGUAAAUAGAAGGUGUUCAAGUUUAGACAGCAAAUGUUUCAAUUAAAAUGAUAUUUUGGAAGCCCAGAACAUGGUGUCCCAACCGUCCAGAAUAGGCAGAAUUAUGGGGAAAUGCACUCCUUGUAUAUUUAAUAAAAUUGUGCCUUUUACGUUUGGGUUGGGCUCUAACGAACUCAAUAAAUUGUUAGCAAACACCUGAAUCUGUUCAGUGAGCAAAUUAUUUUCAUUACUAUUUAAGGUCAUUUGGUGUCCAUACAAAACCAACCCCGCUCUCCCCUACCUGCGUGUUUCUAUGGUCAAGCUGUGUGCACUGAGUCUUCUUGGUUAAUGUUAUUCUGGUAAACACCAGUAAAUACUGGCAUCAGGGAAGUUGCGGUAUGUGAAUAAACCAUGAGCACUAGCUGAGUAAGAUGACUUUUCACUACAGCUAUAAAUAUGGGUCACUUUGAGAAGACAGUAUUUAAUUUAGUUUGAUUGCUUUUGGACUUGUAUUAAUAAUGGACAAAAGCCUUUUUCAGCUCUGCAGGCAAGACCAUUCUGUGGACCUGUAUGAUGUUUUUACAAAAUUCAGUUUGAACGUUUUAAUUUGAAUCAUUGAUCAAAUAUUUGGAUUUGAUUCUCGGCCCUACAAUAGGUUCAAAAUGGCAAACAAGGCCUUGAAAAUAUAUGCAAAAAUAAAAUCAUAUGCACUGAUUUUUCAGUACUUUCAAAUGGCCUUUUUACUUUUGUUAUGAUGUUCAUUGAACACAGCAAUAUAUUAUGUAAUUAUCACAACCUGACGUAUAUAAUCUAAAAUGAUACAAAUUACAUAUUUAAAUUAGUUUACCAGUAUGGAAAUGUGAAAUAUCAUCAAUGUAAACAUAUAACUGAAAAUGACCUUAUAAGAAUAAGGUUUUUGCAAAGGCAUUGCUUUAGGUUACUGACUAAUCUAAAAAACUAAUUUCUUCAUCACUACAAAUGAUCCUGCUGAGGAGACAGAGAGGGAAACUGAGGACCCCCAUAGCAAUGACUGCCACUGUGAUAACGUCCCACAGUUGCAUUAUCAUUGCUUUUCAAACAGUUUAUAUGAUGGGACAAUAUGCAAAGUCACGUGACGUGAAAAAUAGAUUGGGAAGAAGUAGGGUAAGUUUUGCAGGGUCUUUGUUUGGCCCGUAUCAUGACAUCAGUAGCUGCACUUUCUCUGUCUGCUGGCACUGCUCCCAUAACCCUGUUAUGAUGAAUAGAAGGCUGUUCAGAUAUGUCUGUCCCAUUCUCAAUCAGGCCAACGUUAGCUGUUCCUCCCUCCCUUUACUGUAGGCUACUACCCACUCUGCUUUGUAAGGAAUAAAGGUGUCUCCUGUUCAUCUCCUGCUCCCAAUACUGUUGCCAGACCUGGUUUAUUUUUUUCAAACAAUACAUCAUGGACUGUAAAU